RNAcentral lists this long non-coding RNA (360 nucleotides) under Olea europaea subsp. europaea. Lineage: Eukaryota; Viridiplantae; Streptophyta; Magnoliopsida; Lamiales; Oleaceae. The record is from RNAcentral.
CUUUGCGCUGGAGAAUCUACUAUGAACUUGUAUCAAAGUCGCGUUGAAAUAUGUAGAAAAAAGUGAAAAUGCACACAAGUUUCAACCAGUUCCUAGGGAGAUCCACCUAAGGAAGCACAUCAGCUCUAUGUUUCUCACUCAAGAUUACAAGAUUUAUUGCAUAGCCUCAUUACAAAACUCUCAACAAAAACUUCAUGACACUCAACAUUAGAACUCGCUCAAGAGAACUUCAACCGAACCUUUGUGCCAGAGAAACACCCAAAGAGUUGCUAAAAAUAUGUAAUAGACAAGAGAAUCCACAAAAUUGAGAUUAAGAAACCACAAAAAUCUUUGUUUUCUACUAAAGAGCGAAUGAAUAAG